GCACAGUCCAUGUAAUUCACCACUCAGCACCCCUAGCCUGCCUUUUCCUGACUUUGGCUUAAAGCGUGUCCGCAGGGAAGUGAACUAAGUUUGUAAACCUGAAGGGUGAGAUCCAGCCAUGAAGGAAAGAUGUUGAGGAGCUAAUGUAAGCCACAAGCCAAAUCAGAGUUUUGGGACCAAGAGUACAAGUUGAUGAGUUAGCAUCGAAGGAGUGAAAAGACACUUUCAUCCUGAGACAGGAGAGAAAUAACAAAUAGACAGUGGAGGAGAAACUUGAGGUCCAGAGGAGAGGGGUUGCAGUAUGUCCCCUGGCUGUUCUGCCUUCUCCACCGAUGUGUAGUGGGUGUUGGAGUUUCACUAAAGAAGUCUCCAUUUCAAGAAUGCAGGUUGGAUGCAACCCAUUUCAAUCAGUGGAAAGAGAAGUGGAAACUCAAGAGGUGAGAAAAUGCUUUUAGUAAGGACCAUCAACCUAGAG
Molecule: long non-coding RNA, 475 nt
Filed under: Homo sapiens (human)
Lineage: Eukaryota; Metazoa; Chordata; Mammalia; Primates; Hominidae
Description: non-protein coding lnc-DIRAS3-1:1
Source: RNAcentral